Molecule: unclassified non-coding RNA, 17 nt
Filed under: Mus musculus (house mouse)
Lineage: Eukaryota; Metazoa; Chordata; Mammalia; Rodentia; Muridae
Description: oocyte_clustered_small_RNA7539
Source: RNAcentral
CAGGACUGGAACUCCAA